UACGUAGGUGGCAAGCGUUAUCCGGAAUUAUUGGGCGUAAAGAGCUCGUAGGCGGUUUGUCGCGUCUGCCGUGAAAGUCCGGGGCUCAACUCCGGAUCUGCGGUGGGUACGGGCAGACUAGAGUUGGAUAGGGGAGCUGGAAUUCCUGGUGUAGCGGUGAAAUGCGCAGAUAUCAGGAGGAACACCGGUGGCGAAGGCGGGACUCUGGGCCGAUACUGACGCUGAGGAGCGAAAGCGUGGGGAGCAAACAGG
This 252-nucleotide ribosomal RNA is filed under the name uncultured bacterium. RNAcentral's name for it is "partial 16S ribosomal RNA". It matches the Rfam family "Bacterial small subunit ribosomal RNA", at positions 524 to 776 of the family's 1533-position model. The record is from RNAcentral.